GAAAUGCGAUAAGUAAUGUGAAUUGCAGAAUUCAGUGAAUCAUCGAAUCUUUGAACGCACAUUGCGCCCGCCAGUAUUCUGGCGGGCAUGCCUGUUCGAGCGUCAUUUCAACCAUCAAGCCCCCGGCUUGUGUUGGGGACCUGCGGCUGCCCGCAGGCCCUGAAAACCAGUGGCGGGCUCGCUGUCACACCGAGCGUAGUAGCAACAUCUCGCUCAGGGCGUGCUGCGGGUUCCGGCCGUUAAAGGCCUUUUACACCCAAGGUUGACCUCGGAUCAGGUAGGAAGACCCGCUGAACUUAAGC
Molecule: unclassified non-coding RNA, 302 nt
Filed under: plant metagenome
Description: partial contains 5.8S ribosomal RNA, internal transcribed spacer 2, and large subunit ribosomal RNA
Rfam family: 5.8S ribosomal RNA (bases 1-105)
Source: RNAcentral